Molecule: transfer RNA, 56 nt
Filed under: Sus scrofa (pig)
Lineage: Eukaryota; Metazoa; Chordata; Mammalia; Artiodactyla; Suidae
Rfam family: tRNA
About the family: Transfer RNA (tRNA) molecules are approximately 80 nucleotides in length. Their secondary structure includes four short double-helical elements and three loops (D, anti-codon, and T loops). Further hydrogen bonds mediate the characteristic L-shaped molecular structure. tRNAs have two regions of fundamental functional importance: the anti-codon, which is responsible for specific mRNA codon recognition, and the 3' end, to which the tRNAs corresponding amino acid is attached (by aminoacyl-tRNA synthetases). tRNAs cope with the degeneracy of the genetic code in two manners: having more than one tRNA (with a specific anti-codon) for a particular amino acid; and 'wobble' base-pairing, i.e. permitting non-standard base-pairing at the 3rd anti-codon position.
Source: Rfam by way of RNAcentral
AGUCUAGUGGCAAGGAUGCCUGGUUUUCACCCAGGCUGCCCAGGUUCAAUUCCUGA